Molecule: ribosomal RNA, 253 nt
Filed under: uncultured bacterium
Lineage: Bacteria
Description: partial 16S ribosomal RNA
Rfam family: Bacterial small subunit ribosomal RNA
Source: RNAcentral
GACGGAAGGUGCAAGCGUUGCUCGGAAUCACUGGGCGUAAAGGGUGCGUAGGCGGCCCGCUAAGUCGAACGUGAAAUCCCCGGGCUCAACCCGGGAACUGCGUCCGAGACUGGAAGGCUCGAAUCCGGGAGAGGGAUGUGGAAUUCCAGGUGUAGCGGUGAAAUGCGUAGAUAUCUGGAGGAACAUCGGUGGCGAAGGCGGCAUCCUGGACCGGUAUUGACGCUGAGGCGCGAAAGCCAGGGGAGCAAACGGG